Molecule: long non-coding RNA, 1879 nt
Filed under: Homo sapiens (human)
Lineage: Eukaryota; Metazoa; Chordata; Mammalia; Primates; Hominidae
Description: HSALNT0309084
Source: RNAcentral
GUCAGGCCGUGCCGCCCACCCCGCCCCGCUCCUCGCCAGGCUGCUCCACCCGCCCCGCCGCUCGUCACGCUUCCUCGUCCGCCCCGCCCCUCGCUAGGCUGCACCGCCCGCCCCGCUUCCGCCCCAUCCCUCUCCAGGCCGCGCCUCCGCCUCCGGCCCGCCCUCGUCUCCGCCCCUGCGGGGGCUGCUCGUUAGGCCCCGCCCUGCACCCCCGUCACCCACGCCGCGCGACCCGCAGCCGCCGCCAGGGCCCUCUGCUGCCGCGGAGGUGCUAGGACAGCCGCGGACGGCCCGCCUCCCCGUGCCCCGGGCCUCGAGGCCAAUAAAAAGCUCGCCCCUCCAGCUCACCGGGUCCGACGGGUACGGUACAAAGUGCUGUCUCUCGCCACAGCCACCUUUGUGACAAUAAAAGCAAUAAGGCUAAUGUCCAUGGGGCGCUCACGUUUAUGCAUGAACAGAGAAAGCUGAGAUACGGAGACUAGUGAUCCGUCGAGGUAAUAAACGGCACAGGUGGGGUUUGAACUCCAUCAGUUUGAUUGCAGAGGCCUGGAACAACCCUACAGCCUUCUCUCAGAUCUUUUCUGGACCUUUUUCUAUGCGCUUUGAAUGUGAGCUCCAGGAGGACACGACCCUCCCUGUUUCCUUGUUCCCUGCUGUGUCCCAGUACCAAGCACAGUGUCUGAUAUAAAAGAUAGACCCUGGGCACUUGCAGACACCCCCCCACCACCCACCCCCUGCACACCCCUGGCAGUGCUCUAGAGUGAGCCUCCUUCAUUUCAGUCCUUGGCAAGGGGGAGUGAGCCAGAGAUGGCAUUAAGCUGCAUGUGGCUGCUAAGUCAUGCACCUAGGACGUGAGGCUGCCAAGCUUGGUAUUCAAUAAAUAUUGAUGGAUGAAGGAACAAUGGAAGAAAGGAGUGCAUGGGUAAACAAAUGACAAAUAUGUCAAAGCACGGAUGCAGAUUCUUAGAAUGGGCUAAUGCUGUUUUCUGCUGGAUUUUUGGAUGUGUACAAACGAGUUCUCUCACAAUACAGAUCCACAGUGUCUGGGUCAGAGGAGAACUGAUGCUCCGCAUGGCAUUUUACCAUCCUGCCUGCCUGCCUGGGGCCCUGGGCCCACAGGCUUUGGGGAGAGUGUAUGGCCAGGCUGCAGCCUUCCUGGGAUAAAGCUCUGCCUUUUAGUCUCUUAUCCUACUUUUUAGAAGCCCUUUAAGGUCUUUGUUAAAGGAAAUCUAAUGUGAAGAAUUCCAGGAGAACUGGAUAAGCCUGACUAUGGGUGGGCGUGACUGAAUUACUUCCCGGGCUGGCUAAGGAAGGCCUCCCCCGAAGUGCAUCGGAAGCCUGCAGCUUCUCCUUAUGGCCACUGGAGGGCACUUGGACCAUGAAAUACCAGAUCGUCUCGGCGUCCCAGGUCUUUGGAAAUGUGUGAUUCAAUUCAGCAAACGUUUCAAAAUCAUCACUAUAAAGAUAGCGCUUUUGUGUUGAACAUCCAAUAUGGCGCUAAACACCUUAUAUAUAUGUGUGCGUGUAUAUAUGAACUUGCUUAAUAUUAACUACAAUUGUUGUGAGUUACUUAGGCUAUUUAGGAAAAAAAAAUCAAGGCUUAAAGAAGUCAAAGUACUUACCCAAGAUUGCUUAGCUAAAUAAAAUUUGGGAGUAAGGACUUGAACUCAAGCCCUUGGGCACCAACCAUAAGCAAUAGGUGCACACAAAGCUGAAAUGAGGACUCUCUUAUAAGCAGGAAGACGCACACACCACACAAAUAUUAUUGUUCCUCAACAAUUUACACAUUCUGAAAUUGGAAGAUGACUUACAAUUUGUACAUUACAUGGUAAUGUUUCUUUUUUCCCUUGAAAUGAUGUUAUUAAAUAAAUGAAGUGUC